Non-coding RNA from Ascoidea rubescens DSM 1968, 100 nucleotides. The record is from the annotation of a RefSeq genome assembly. NCBI's taxonomy places the organism in Eukaryota, Fungi, Ascomycota, Saccharomycetes, Ascoideales, Ascoideaceae.
CUCCUGGUGGCCAAGCUGGUUAAGGCGCGAGACUGUAAUGUUUCACUUUGUGGAAAACAAAGUAAUCUUGAGAUCGGGUGUUCGACUCACCCCCAGGAGA